This is a small nuclear RNA of Pipistrellus kuhlii (Kuhl's pipistrelle), 108 nucleotides long. The record is from RefSeq and is a predicted model, not a curated record. Lineage: Eukaryota; Metazoa; Chordata; Mammalia; Chiroptera; Vespertilionidae.
AUGCUCCUUUCAGCAGCACCUAUACUAACAUUGGAAGGAUACAGGUAAGGUUGGCAUGGCCCACUGGGAAAGGAUGACAGGGAAAUUUGUGAAGCGUUCCACAUUUAC